Molecule: ribosomal RNA, 140 nt
Filed under: Bigelowiella natans
Lineage: Eukaryota; Cercozoa; Chlorarachniophyceae
Description: partial Eukaryotic large subunit ribosomal RNA
Rfam family: Eukaryotic large subunit ribosomal RNA
Source: RNAcentral
UGACUCAAUUGAAACUGGCGCGGACCAAGGGAAUCCGACUGUCUACUAAAAACACAGCAUUGCGAUGGUCCCCGCGGAUGUUGACGCAAUGUGAAUCCUGCCCAGUGCUCAGACUGUCAAGACGGAGAGAUUCGACGAAG